Molecule: ribosomal RNA, 1008 nt
Filed under: Triticum aestivum (bread wheat)
Lineage: Eukaryota; Viridiplantae; Streptophyta; Magnoliopsida; Poales; Poaceae
Description: partial small subunit ribosomal RNA
Source: RNAcentral
GACGAAGGAGAGCGGUGUUCAAGGGCUCGUGACGCAACGACGAUGCAAGAAGGGGUAGGGCCGAACGCCGCACGUGGCAUCCAGCCCUAUCAUCCGGAGGCCUUGACGUGGUAAACUAAGUACAUGACCUCUUCCACUAUUCCAAAAACCUCUCGCGAGUCGCGCUGAUGACCGAAGAAGAAGUGCCUGCGGGCCUGAAGCUGCUGCUGAAGAAGGGGCUGCAGCUGUUGGAAGAGCUGCUGUACCGUCUUUUACGUUCUCGUUUCCUGUGUGUACGAGCUCUAUAAUUCCCUCCUAGAUCACGGUUAGACCAUGUCUUCGUCUUGAAGGACGGGGUGUUCAAGUUCUUGUUCCCGUUAAAACUACCAUUUCGUUUCAAACUACCCUUCUUGUUUCGUCACGUUGUGUGCUUGAAGUUCUUCUUCUUACUGUUCUUCUUUCCACAAACAGUACACACACCCCUAGGACUAGUAACCCGAGGAUCAACGGGAUUAGCGAUACUGUUCGCAGUAGGACCCUUUCCGCCGUUCUGACGAUUACAACAGUAACCUCUGUGACUGUACUUCCUACGACCCAUACCAUAUAAAGGGUGAUAAGAUAGUCAUACAGUAAGAGGUCUAACCAACUAACUGUGCCCACGAUUACACGUACAUACGCCACUAUAAAGAUACAAAAGCAGAAUAGUCUGGUGUCCCUGAAGUUGGUACGACUACCCGUUGUCAAGUUCACGAAGACAAACACCACAACCGUGCCAGCUAGACUUCAAAUGAAGCCCCUUCUAGCGCGCCGACUUCUUGCACGUAAUACAGGGGGGGCAGUUAUUUUUAGAACAAUCGCCUAGAGAAGACACAUCUCUACCGAUGUUCGAACAGAAACUCAGCUUAUUUAAACAUUAUAGGUUCAUACCUUGGAAACAACCAUUUCCGAUACUCAGUCCUCCGGACAAAGCAAAUAGGAAUAGUCUGUAAACAUUAUUUCAACAAUUAGUACAAACGUUGUUAUCACUUA